UGUACCUCUCAUAGUAUUAAUGGUGUGUAUUUUUGUGAUUUCCAUUAAUUUUUAGAACAGUAUAAAAUGUAUACUAUAAAUGAUUUAAUCUUCAACUUUGAACUUCAUCUCUGCUAGUGGAUCUGAUUGGAAUUUAAAUUGGAUCCAACACCCUUCAAAAUAAUCUGAAUUUCUCAACCCCUGUGUGGCACAUGAAGGAAUUGAGUAAUCAUGAACAAAUUUAACAGUAAUUACUGCCUUAUAGAAAUGAAUAAAAUGUAAGAUGAGAAUACAAAAAUCAACGUGCAUGUAAAUAUGGCUUUUCCGGACGUUUUGGAAUCGUUAUAUAGACUUUAUGACGUUAUGGAAUAAUGAGCUUUGACAACAGAUAAACGCAGCUUUUCGUCAUUAAGAAGGAUCAAGAUAUACUUAAAAAAAAAUAACUUCUGAGUCAAGAUUGGUAGGUUUUGCAAUAGUCCCGUCGAGCAGUGAGAUCAUUUGUCCCGUGACAAGAAUAUAGCCCCAAGCGACGUCCAAGAUCUACUGUACAACCCCACGAAUAUCCGGUCUCGUGGGAUAGCCAUUCUAGACAUCAUCAACUCUCGGUUGCUUCUCAUCGUGACUCACAGUCCUUUUACGUCAUAAUAGAGAAUAUACGUCAUUGAAAAAAACCGCUGAACGAAGAACAGAUACAGGUGGAAAAAACAAUCUACAGGAAGCGCUAUGGCCUACUGAACUACACCUCUUUUCCCCACCUCACAUAUACACAGUUACGUUCCAUUACAAUGAGACUUUCAAGCCAGCGGGUACGUGCCACGACAAAUAGCCAAGAAGAUCACAAAACGGGCUUCCAGAUCUGCUGAUUCUGCAAACCGAGCUUCAAAGAGAACCACUAUAAUGCAACUCUAGGCUGGCUGGUUUUGUGAGCCUUUUGACCCAAAUAGUAUAUGAA
This is a long non-coding RNA of Aphis gossypii (cotton aphid), 931 nucleotides long. RefSeq lists it as uncharacterized. The transcript is spliced from 3 exons. The record is from RefSeq and is a predicted model, not a curated record. NCBI's taxonomy places the organism in Eukaryota, Metazoa, Arthropoda, Insecta, Hemiptera, Aphididae.